This 406-nucleotide ribosomal RNA is filed under the name uncultured bacterium. Its description in RNAcentral is "partial 16S ribosomal RNA". It matches the Rfam family "Bacterial small subunit ribosomal RNA", at positions 30 to 526 of the family's 1533-position model. The record is from RNAcentral.
AUUGAACGCUGGCGGCAUGCCUAACACAUGCAAGUAGGACGAGUGGCAGACGGGUGAGUAAUGUCUGGGACACUGCAUGAUGGCUGUGGAUAACUACUGGAAACGGUAGCUAAUACCGCAUACCACCAUUUGUUCCCAGAUGGGAUGAGCUAGUUGGUGGGGUAACGGUUCACAAAGGCGAGGAUCCCUAGCUGGUCUGACAGGAUGACCAGCCACACGGGAACGAAGAAACGGUCCAGACUCCUACGGAAGGCAGCAGAGGGGAAUAUUGCACAAUGGGCGAAAGCCGGAUGCGGCAAUGCCGCGUGUAUGAAGAAGGCCUCCGUGUUGUAAAGUACUUUCAGCGGGGAGGCGUUACCCACAGAAGAAGCACCGGCUAACUCCGUGCCAGCAGCCGCGGUAAUAC